RNAcentral lists this ribosomal RNA (230 nucleotides) under uncultured bacterium. RNAcentral describes it as "partial 16S ribosomal RNA". It matches the Rfam family "Bacterial small subunit ribosomal RNA", at positions 563 to 791 of the family's 1533-position model. The record is from RNAcentral.
AAGCGUGCGCAGGCGGUUAUAUAAGACAGAUGUGAAAUCCCCGGGCUCCAACCUGGGAACUGCAUUUGUGACUGUAUAGCUGGAGUGCGGCAGAGGGGGAUGGAAUUCCGCGUGUAGCAGUGAAAUGCGUAGAUAUGCGGAGGAACACCGAUGGCGAAGGCAAUCCCCUGGGCCUGCACUGACGCUCAUGCACGAAAGCGUGGGGAGCAAACAGGAUUAGAUACCCCGGU